RNAcentral lists this ribosomal RNA (554 nucleotides) under uncultured Oscillatoria sp. RNAcentral's name for it is "bacterial SSU rRNA". It matches the Rfam family "Bacterial small subunit ribosomal RNA", at positions 17 to 613 of the family's 1533-position model. Lineage: Bacteria; Bacillati; Cyanobacteriota; Cyanophyceae; Oscillatoriales; Oscillatoriaceae. The record is from RNAcentral.
UCCUGGCUCAGGAUGAACGCUGGCGGUCUGCUUAACACAUGCAAGUCGAACGGAGUACUUCGGUACUUAGUGGCGGACGGGUGAGUAACGCGUGAGAAUCUGCCCUUAGGAGGGGGACAACAGUUGGAAACGACUGCUAAUACCCCAUAUGCCGAGAGGUGAAACAUUAAUGGCCUGAGGAGGAGCUCGCGUCUGAUUAGCUAGUUGGUGGGGUAACGGCCUACCAAGGCGACGAUCAGUAGCUGGUCUGAGAGGAUGAUCAGCCACACUGGGACUGAGACACGGCCCAGACUCCUACGGGAGGCAGCAGUGGGGAAUUUUCCGCAAUGGGCGAAAGCCUGACGGAGACAAGACCGCGUGAGGGAGGAAGGUCUGUGGAUUGUAAACCUCUUUUCUCAGGGAAGAAGAACUGACGGUACCUGAGGAAUCAGCAUCGGCUAACUCCGUGCCAGCAGCCGCGGUAAUACGGAGGAUGCAAGCGUUAUCCGGAAUUAUUGGGCGUAAAGCGUCCGUAGGUGGCUAAGCAAGUCUGCUGUUAAAAAGCGGAGCUAAAC